Neopsephotus bourkii (Bourke's parrot) is the source of this 2335-nucleotide long non-coding RNA. RefSeq lists it as uncharacterized. The record is from RefSeq and is a predicted model, not a curated record. The transcript is spliced from 2 exons. Lineage: Eukaryota; Metazoa; Chordata; Aves; Psittaciformes; Psittacidae.
GGCACAGGCAGAAGUAAGUUUUCUGUACUAGUGGGAAAGAAAAAACUCCAUUACGUACCAGUGUGCAGUGCAGAGUUUCUGGAAGUUUAACAGCUCUAAUCCUUCAUAAGAAGUGAAACCAGGUUCUUUUAUUUAUUCAGAACUAAACUGCUCUCCCGUUUGCAUAUAGUGUAAUAUUACACCAUCUACUUUCCUUAUCAGCCUUUUCAGUGCCAAGAAUGAUUUUUCUCUUUUCUCCUGUAUAAACAAUUUAAAGUAGAUGGCAGUGCUGACCCAAACCAAUAGAUCUAUCUUAUGCAAGUUACCCAUUGAUAGAUACUGCUUCAGGAAAGAAAAGCAGGUUUUACUGCUUUAUGCCAAUUAUUAUCGCCAUUGUUGGAAUCUAAGGUAACAAAGGAACAUUCCAAAUCCUGGUGAUCACAAGGCAGAGAGGUUAAUUGGAUUAAUGGAGAACAGAUGCAUUCAAUGUAAAGACUGGAAAGUGAAUGACCUUUAGAAGAUAAUUAAAAGAAAAACUUCUGUUAAAGCUCUCACUGUAACAACUUGUGUUUGAGCAUUCCACUUGUUACCCAGUGGAACAGCCAACCCCCCCUGUGGUCAUUGAGUAUUUUAGUACUUUUCUCCAUAGCAGUACUUGCUGUUCUGAUCAAAUACCCAUUUGAUACUCUUCACCUGCCAAAGCAGGCUGUUAUUCUCACUGGGUAGCAGUACCUUGCCUUACCCCUGCUCACGGGGCAGACCAAAAGGGAGGGAGGUAAUGUGGGUUUAGAGGAGCAAAUGGUGCAGCUCUGGGUAGGCACAGGCAGGGCCACGAUGGCAGUAAGUGAACUGCCUGGCUUGUGGAGACCUUGUACUUCUCAUUAGUUCAGGAACAGACAGCAGUUAACACUUGGUCCACCCAACCAGUCCAUUGCAACUCCAGGACUGCCUUUCAGAGCAUCAUGCUGGCAAACAUCAAGAACUUGAUAGCAGAUUAGGAAUUUAUUGAAGAGCCUGUUAUCAAGGAAGGAAGAACCAGCUCAACUGGCUGUGGCUACAAAUUACAAGUAGCUCUUGAGGUUGGACUUCACUGAUCGAGCUUCUGAGUAGUUUUUUCUGAAGUGGAAUUUCAAGAAGAGGCUUUUGUUACCCGCACAGAAGGAAAAUGCGAAUUAUAUGGAGGAAGUAAAGGUUCUGCAACUGCAGAAGAGCAGUUUUUGUAGAGUCUCUGUCCAACUGUCUUUGUCUAGGAUCCCAGAUUCCUUAAGUUCUCUGUACCCAGCUUUCCUUACUGUGUGCCCCUCCAGGUCUGGCUUUCAGCAGGAUUUCUUCAUUUCUUACAGAUUGCUAAGAAGAGAGCAGGCUUUCAUUUCACAGCUUUUUAGCUAACUGCCUGAAAGUCAGUCCCUAAUUUAAGCUAGUCCUUAAGACUCUCCAGAAUCAAUGGAAGAAUGUGUCUUUUCAGACGGCUAUUAAUUAUGGCUGUCUUCAGCACUUCAACAUUUCCACUCUAAACCAGCUCUGUCUCAUAACUGAUAGUAGGAGUGUGAAAAAUCCUGGACAGCUGAAUGUUGCCUGGCUCCCAGCAGGUGAAGAUAAACCCUGCCCUGUAUAACCACUCAUCUGCACCAACAUCUGUGCUACUACUGCCUGUACAACUUAAUGAUGUGCUACAUGUCUUGGUUUAGACAGAAUUGGCUAUAAAGUGAUGGGGUUUUGCCCUUGCUUUAUACAGAGGAGUGAAUAACUUUUGGCAACUUCAUUAUAUUCCUGAGUUUACUCAUGUAAUUUCCUCCAAAAUGAAAGACACUUCACAUCUUUCAUCAUCGCUAUCACUCUGUGUACUUUUUUUCCAGUUUUGCUGCAUCACUGCUGAGGGGGAGGAGUGCUUCAUUUCUUCCCAGUUAAAAUACAUACACAGACAGUGCUUCCAUGGGGACUGUUGCUUGAAUUUUAGAAGAUUAAAAAUGUAGUUUAAAAAUAAAGCUAAAGUAGAUAAUGUUCUCUAGAAGUAUGAAUGCUUUCAAUGGAACAGGGUGAAGAUAACUAAUCUUUACAAAGUACAUGGGUAUCAAGCUUAUUCUGUAUCAUUUUAGAUGUCUGACUAACAGAUCAUUUACUCCCAAGUCAAUCACCUUCUAUCUACUAGAGCAAAUAACCUAAUUUGAAGGGCCCCCUAUCAUUUUUGCAUGCAAGUGGUAAACAUUACAGGGAAAGAAACCAGUGCCCAAAUGAAAUCGUGCAGCACCUUCAGGUCUGGCAAAUUUCUUGUGUGAACAAUGCCAAAGAAUCAGAAUAAAAAAUUAAUUAUUGUGAUUUUUCUGUUCUGCACCACAAGAAAAGGCAAAUAACUUCU